RNAcentral lists this microRNA precursor (89 nucleotides) under Paramuricea clavata. The record is from RNAcentral. Lineage: Eukaryota; Metazoa; Cnidaria; Anthozoa; Malacalcyonacea; Plexauridae.
GUUAAGAUGAAAAUGUUCUAGAGUGUGUAUUAUGGAAAUUGUGGUAUGGAAAUUAUAUAAUACACACUCUAGAACAUUUUCAUCUUAAU